UCUCCGUAGGUGAACCUGCGGAGGGAUCAUUACAGAGUUCAUGCCCUACCGGGUAGAUCUCCCACCCUAUGUUAUUAUUACUUUGUUGCUUUGGCGGGCCGUUAGGCUCCGGCCCGACUACCGGCCCCGGCUGGUAAGCGCCCGCCAGAGGACCCAAAACCCUGAAUAUUAGUGUCGUCUGAGUACUAUAUAAUAGUUAAAACUUUCAACAACGGAUCUCUUGGUUCUGGCAUCGAUGAGGAACGCAGC
RNAcentral lists this unclassified non-coding RNA (249 nucleotides) under plant metagenome. Its description in RNAcentral is "partial contains small subunit ribosomal RNA, internal transcribed spacer 1, and 5.8S ribosomal RNA". The stretch from base 201 to 249 matches the Rfam family "5.8S ribosomal RNA", at positions 1 to 49 of the family's 154-position model. The record is from RNAcentral.